AGCUUUGUGGUGUGCAACACAUAGGAUUGCAAAUCCUAAGAAGUAGAUUAAAGAUCUACCGGGGCUU
RNAcentral lists this transfer RNA (67 nucleotides) under Schistometopum thomense. RNAcentral's name for it is "tRNA-Cys". It matches the Rfam family "tRNA". Rfam says of the family: Transfer RNA (tRNA) molecules are approximately 80 nucleotides in length. Their secondary structure includes four short double-helical elements and three loops (D, anti-codon, and T loops). Further hydrogen bonds mediate the characteristic L-shaped molecular structure. tRNAs have two regions of fundamental functional importance: the anti-codon, which is responsible for specific mRNA codon recognition, and the 3' end, to which the tRNAs corresponding amino acid is attached (by aminoacyl-tRNA synthetases). tRNAs cope with the degeneracy of the genetic code in two manners: having more than one tRNA (with a specific anti-codon) for a particular amino acid; and 'wobble' base-pairing, i.e. permitting non-standard base-pairing at the 3rd anti-codon position. The record is from RNAcentral. Lineage: Eukaryota; Metazoa; Chordata; Amphibia; Gymnophiona; Dermophiidae.